AGAGCAGGGCAGAGACCCGGGCCCCUGGAGCCCCCGAAGCCAGUUUGCAGCGCGGGCCGAUGGAAAACGCCUCGGAUGCAGGGUGCAGGGUGGGCGUGAAGUGGACAAAACAGCCCCACAUUUGAAGGAGGGGAGUUUGAGUCAAGGACACCAGGGACCUGCUGCAGAAUCUUUGACAUCCAUGCAGAAGAGAUGGCUGUGUGCUCCUUCAUAUACUCCCUGAAGAAAGAAGGAGGGGUGAGCAGACCCUAGGUUUGGACCUAUGGUUCUAGAGAAUCUGGUAGGCGGGUGCUCAUCUGACUAAGCCAUCCUCUCUAGGAUGCAUUUUCCAUCCGGAUUUAAAAAGGCUGACAAAGAUCAGGAGGGAGCACAUGAGGAGCAAUAGAAGACGCAUGUUCUGGUGUUGAAAGCACAUUGCCUGGGAGUCAGGAGGGCUGGUUUCUAAUCCUGGAUAUACACCUUUCUCAGCUAUGGUGAUAUCCCAGGUGGGGGGACACAAGAGACAUGGAGAGGAUUAUUUCCUUUCUUUCCAGGGAGGUGAUGUCUCUCAUUAUGCAGCUCAGAGUUGCAAUGGCCUAGUUGUUUUGUUGACACAUCACAUUGCAAAGACAUGUCUAAUUUGCUGUCCACUUUCACCCCAAGGUCUCUCUCUUUCUCAGUUUCCCCCUCUCAUGUACACACACAUCUAAGGCAUCAGGUGCAAUCCAAUGCAUUCCAAAGGCCAAUGAAAGACUCACCCUGGUAGCUAUGAUUGAGUAGAUCCAGGAAAGCUGCAUGAAACUCAUGAAAGGCAAGAGAACCCCCCCCCCCACCACCACCACCACCAUUACCUUCUACAGUUCAAACACUGUGCGAAAAAGUGAGAUCUGUAUAUAUGAUUAUGAAUGCUCUGCCACAUUGCAUUUAGUUUACUGGUUAGCCCUGGGAGGGGCUGCAGGAAAGCAACCCACAACUGUUGCAUGUGGUGUGUGCACUGACAAUCCAGUGUGUUGUACAUAAUGCAAGUGACCUGUCACUUAGCCGUCUCUGUAACAGCAAAACAUCCCUGCUGCUGCUCCGAAUACUUACACAGAAGUGAAGGGGAAUUUUUCUCUUGACCAACUUUGGAUCAGGCCCCCAAUCUCCUAACUGUCCAUAAACAUUUCCAGUUGGCUGUCUGCUUCCCAUGGCUAGUAGCAGCCAUUCUGGCAGGGUCUGUGGUUUGAUGUGUGGGUAUUUUUCUUUUGAGGCGAGGUGAAGGGGAGAGACACAGCUCAACCGCUCAGGCUGUAGUCCUGAGAAAAAAGGAACCAACUUAACUCCUAUGAGCCCUUUCUAUUGUAUCAGAUGUGUUAAUAAUCGGUUUUGCUAAUGCAAUUGCUACUAUGAUGCGAAAAUCCUACUGGAAAAUGUAUUAGAGCAAUUAUCCUUCUUACUGCCGCAGCCUGGUGUAGUAUUAAUAUUCAAUUUUGAUGUGGAAGUCCUAUUAUGUUAAUGACUUUUGUGACAAAAGUCGUUAACGUGAGACUUUUUCUAUGGUGCAGCAUUAGCCGGGGUUGAAUACGCACGUGACGCCAAGUACGUCUCACAAGAUCAAACAGAAACUUGUGACUAUGCCACCCAGACCCGUCGCGUAUCCCGAGUGCAUUCGCGAGAGCUGCCAUUGCUGGGCUCCGACGGGAAAGGAGAUGCACUGCAAAGGCAAUAAUACGACAAGCCAGAGCCCUUUCUAGCAACAGGCCUCGUGCUUCAGAACCACAGCCUGUUAUUAGAAUCUAAACGAAAGAUGGUUGGUCGUAGCACUGGGAUUACAGACAUCGCCCAGCCAGGUGUACCGGAGAGUAGCUAAUGCAGAGUUCUCUGGAGCAGACUUCACAACCCCUCCCUCAUGACAAGGUGGAUCACUCAUUUUAGACCCACAUUGGCCUGUGUCCCAUGUAAAGCUGCAUGUCGCUGUCUCACUGGACAUGACUGUAAAUUACACAUGGCAGAAAAGCUGAAUCAGGAAAGCAGGUUAUAGAAAACUUUCUAGCCAUUAAAGCAGUGACGCUGGCGUCAUGGCCAGCUCUCUCCUCUGCUCUUCUGCCAGGCGAUUUUUGUGUUGUGUCCCUUGCAGUGAGUCUCCAUCAGACAUCGGAAAGGUCAGAGUUGCCCCAGCAGGUCUCGGAAGGUUGAGCGCUGCGCUGUGGAGCGAGGCUAAUGUCCCUGAUCCAUUAUUCCUGCUCAGGCCCCUUUCAUUUCGAAACUGAGCCACGUCCCCCUUCCGAAGGAGCAGAGCAGAUACAUAAGAUCCCCAUGCACAGUGCAAUCAGUCCGUUCCCCAUCUCACUGCCUGGCGUAGCUGUCGGGACUUCCUUCUGCUCCAAGGACUUUGGGGAUGGCUGGCAAACAGGUGGGAGGGAGGAAUGGAUGUGUGUCAUCGCCCCGGCUCUGACAAUGGAAAGAAAACACAAAGCCUGUUGUCAAAUCCUGUUUCCACAAGUGCUGAGCUGCACUCAUUUCUGCUAGAUGACCUUGGCCUAGGCACCCUAUGCCGUGCUGGGAGAAGGAAAACCCGGAGCCGAUCUGCAGCCCCAAUCUCUGCAGCCCUCUCGGCUCCGGAGCGGGGCCAGGGCAGGGAACAAAAGGAAAAUAAUGUAACUAACACAAAAGAUACACAUCAAAACAACACAAGCGGAUCUCUGCAAUAAACAGCAGGGUUCCCCCAAGUGACAUCCCCCUCCCGUCGCUUACUGCCUUCUCUCCUCACCUCGGCCUCUUCUCAUUGGUUGUAUCCCCUGUAUGAUAGAGGCUUCCUUCUGAGAGGCUAAAGUUAAGGGGGUUGAAGAUGCUCUUAGAAUCACCCUCUUCCCGAUCUAAUUCCCUUCACCAGGGCCUCACUCCACACAUCCUUAUUUACAUCUGUGCAAAUCAGUGCACCCACUUUGCAUUCCAUUUCCACAGGUGUGAGCGAUGAGAGAAGGCGCCGGGCGCAAGACUCAGCCCCUGGCCUGUGUGUGUCUGACGCCGUGUGCACGCACAUGGGACUGUCUGCAUAAUGACGAAUAAUGUUUUCUGGAAGGAAAAUGCCUUUUUGGGGCGGGAAGGGGAAACGUACCUAAUUAUGCACAAAGUUCCCAAGUCCGAGUGGGGAA
Long non-coding RNA from Malaclemys terrapin pileata, 3113 nucleotides. RefSeq lists it as uncharacterized. NCBI's taxonomy places the organism in Eukaryota, Metazoa, Chordata, Testudines, Emydidae. The record is from RefSeq and is a predicted model, not a curated record. The transcript is spliced from 3 exons.